This 253-nucleotide ribosomal RNA is filed under the name uncultured bacterium. Its description in RNAcentral is "partial 16S ribosomal RNA". It matches the Rfam family "Bacterial small subunit ribosomal RNA", at positions 524 to 776 of the family's 1533-position model. The record is from RNAcentral.
UACGUAGGGUGCAAGCGUUAAUCGGAAUUACUGGGCGUAAAGCGUGCGCAGGCGGUUUUGUAAGUCUGUCGUGAAAGCCCCGGGCUUAACCUGGGAAUUGCGAUGGAGACUGCAAGGCUUGAAUCUGGCAGAGGGGGGUAGAAUUCCACGUGUAGCAGUGAAAUGCGUAGAGAUGUGGAGGAACACCGAUGGCGAAGGCAGCCCCCUGGGUCAAGAUUGACGCUCAUGCACGAAGACGUGGGGAGCAAACAGG